Molecule: transfer RNA, 73 nt
Filed under: Stegodyphus mimosarum
Lineage: Eukaryota; Metazoa; Arthropoda; Arachnida; Araneae; Eresidae
Rfam family: tRNA
About the family: Transfer RNA (tRNA) molecules are approximately 80 nucleotides in length. Their secondary structure includes four short double-helical elements and three loops (D, anti-codon, and T loops).
Source: Rfam by way of RNAcentral
GCCUUCGUUGUGUAAUGGUUAGCACACUGAGCCGGUAUUUCAGAGGUCCGUGGUUCGAUCCCCGGCGAAGGCA